CCUACGGGUGGCAGCAGUGGGGAAUAUUGCGCAAUGGGCGAAAGCCUGACGCAGCGACGCCGCGUGAGGGAUGAAGGUCUUCGGAUCGUAAACCUCUGUCAGCAGGGAAGAACGGUCACUGUGCUAAUCAGCAGUGAAUUGACGGUACCUGCAAAGGAAGCACCGGCUAACUCCGUGCCAGCAGCCGCGGUAAUACGGAGGGUGCGAGCGUUAAGCGGAAUUCCUGGGCGUAAAGCGCUCGUAGGCGGUAUGUCAAGUCAAGGGUGAAAUCCCCGCGCUCAACGGGGGAACUGCCUUUGAAACUGGCAAACUGGAGUGUGUGAGAGGAGAGUGGAAUUCCAGGUGUAGGAGUGAAAUCCGUAGAUAUCUGGAGGAACAUCAGUGGCGAAGGCGACUAUCCGGCACAUAACUGACGCUGAGGAGCGAAAGCGUGGGUAGCAAACAGGAGUAGAUACCCCAGUAGUC
This 465-nucleotide ribosomal RNA is filed under the name uncultured bacterium. RNAcentral describes it as "partial 16S ribosomal RNA". It matches the Rfam family "Bacterial small subunit ribosomal RNA", at positions 338 to 795 of the family's 1533-position model. The record is from RNAcentral.